RNAcentral lists this ribosomal RNA (1505 nucleotides) under uncultured prokaryote. RNAcentral describes it as "partial 16S ribosomal RNA". It matches the Rfam family "Bacterial small subunit ribosomal RNA". The record is from RNAcentral.
AGAGUUUGAUCAUGGCUCAGAAUGAACGCUGGCGGCAUGCCUAACACAUGCAAGUCGAACGAGAAGCUACCUUCGGGGAUGAGUAGAGCGGCGGACGGGUGAGUAACACGUGAGUAAUCUGCCCUACAGUUGAGAAUACCUCAGGGAAACCUGAGUUAAUACUGAAUACGUCCCUACGGGGAGAAAGGUGACUUUAUGUUGCCGCUGAAGGAUGAGCUUGCGGUCUAUUAGUUUGUUGGUGGGGUAAAGGCUCACCAAGGCGAUGAUGGCUAGCCGGCCUGAGAGGGUGUACGGCCACAUUGGAACUGAGACACGGUCCAGACUCCUACGGGAGGCAGCAGUGAGGAAUAUUGCGCAAUGGGCGAAAGCCUGACGCAGCGACGCCGCGUGGAGGAUGAAGGUUUUCGGAUCGUAAACUCCUGUUAAGUGGGAAGAAAGCUUUAUUCGUAAUAUGUUUAAAGUAUGACGGUACCACUAGAGAAAGCACCGGCUAACUUCGUGCCAGCAGCCGCGGUAAUACGAGGGGUGCUAGCGUUAUUCGGAAUUACUGGGCGUAAAGGGUGUGUAGACGGCACGUUAAGUCUGUUGUUAAAUCCUCCGGGCUAACCGGAGAAUCGCGAUGGAAACUAGCGAGCUAGAGAGUGAGAGAGAGAAGUGGAAUUCUCGGAGUAGCGGUAAAAUGCGUAGAUAUCGAGAGGAACACCAAUGGCGAAGGCAGCUUCUUGGCUCAUUUCUGACGUUGAGACACGAAAGCGUGGGGAGCAAACAGGAUUAGAUACCCUGGUAGUCCACGCCGUAAACGAUGACCACUAGACGUUAGUCCGGCUUUGCUGGAUUAGUGUCGUAGCUAACGCGUUAAGUGGUUCGCCUGGGGAAUACGGUCGCAAGGCUAAAACUUAAAGGAAUUGACGGGGGUCCGCACAAGCGGUGGAACAUGUGGUUUAAUUCGUCACUACGCGAGGAACCUUACCUGGGCUUGACAUGCUUUUGACCGCUGUAGAAAUACAGUCUUCUAGGCUUCGGUUUAGACAAUUGCACAGGUGCUGCAUGGCUGUCGUCAGCUCGUGUCGUGAGACGUUAGGUUAAGUCCUCUAACGAGCGCAACCCCUAUUGCCAGUUGCUACUACUUCGGUAGGCACUCUGGUGAGACUGCCUGUGAAAGCAGGAGGAAGGUGGGGAUGACGUCAAGUCAUCAUGGUCCUUAUGUCCAGGGCUACACACGUGUUACAAUGGCUGAUACAAAAAGUUGCAAUACCGUAAGGUGGAGCUAAUCUUUAAAGUCAGUCUAAGUUCGGAUUGAGGUCUGCAAUUCGACCUCAUGAAGUUGAAAUCGCUAGUAAUCGCGUAUCAGAUACGACGCGGUGAAUACGUUCUCGGACCUUGUACACACCGCCCGUCACACCACGAAAGUUGUUUGUACCCGAAAUUGUUUUAGCUAACCUGUAAAGGAGGCGAACGGCUAAGGUAUGGGCGAUGAUUGGGGUGAAGUCGUAACAAGGUAGCCG